This 1113-nucleotide long non-coding RNA is filed under the name Phoenix dactylifera (date palm). RNAcentral describes it as "long non-coding RNA (PDAC_LNC007991)". The record is from RNAcentral. Lineage: Eukaryota; Viridiplantae; Streptophyta; Magnoliopsida; Arecales; Arecaceae.
AGAAGUUCAAGAGUAAUUUAAAAAACAAAGUAUAGUGCUAGCCAGGUUCAUCAUAAUUUCCUUGGAGUUGGAAUGCAACAACCACUAAGAUGCCAAGGGUAAGGAGAGAAGUUCAAGAGUAAUGAAAAAAGGUAAAUCAUAGUGCUAGCAAGGUUCAUCAUGGUUUUAUUAGAGUUAGAUUGUAACAACUACUAAGAUGUCAAAAGUAAGGAGGGAAGUUCAAGGAUAACAUUCACAAAGUACACAUUAAUGCUAUAAAAAAUUUGCAAGAGAUAAUGAAGGAAUAAUGCGGAGAUGAGUCAUGCCAUAUAAAAGUAAACCACGAAAGAAUAUGACGAUGGUUAACUCGUUCGCUAUCUCUCGCCUACUUCUCCCCUAUUCAUGUUCUUCCAUCUCUCACGAUCAUUGAUUUUGUUUGUUUUUCAUAUAUCCACUUGUUGCAUGAUCUCCAAUGCUUGAUAACGAAGUAUAAUUCUUUUUCAAAAAAUAUCUAGAAUAAGGUGAAUAUCAAAAUUUUGUUUUAAGUUUUAUAAGUGUAGUUUCAUGUACAACAACUCAAACAAUUUACUUGCUUGACUUAGAAAAAUUGCCUCUUAAUAUUGAGAAGGUGCAACAGCGCAUAGCAUCUUUAUACCAUUUAACAAUCAUUAUUGAUGUUCUUCUAAAGGAUUCUUUUAAUUAAAUAAAUGGAGAGGGUCCAAGGCCCCUCACUAGCUCUUACUAAACAAUGAAAUAAAAUUAUAGAAUGACAUGGUCAGUAAAGACCAGAGAUAUAAGUUUGCAGGGGAGUAGAGUUUAUUUAACAUCUAUGAUAGUUUAAAAUGACUUGAGGUAGACUUAGCCAAGCACAAGGCACUUUUAAACUUGAAUGUGCUAACAAUUGCACGAAGAACUGCAUUUUGAGAAGUCCUUUCUUCAAGAAAAUGUUUGGGUUUUUUUCCUCCACAGAUCCCAGCAUGCAAAUAUAACUACCGGAUCCCAAGCCUUAGUUCUUUAAGAACCCUCUUAAUUUUCCAUCUCAUCCAAAGCAAAAGAAGGGAAGUGUAGAUUGUCAUAAUUUUGGUGUAGAUCAAAUAUGUCGGCCCAAGAUUCAGAAUAAACAUCGAUCAAAAA